RNA transcript from Daphnia pulex (common water flea), 1364 nucleotides. It is a transcript of the gene named alpha-2-macroglobulin receptor-associated protein-like, with no coding region annotated. The transcript has 6 exons. The record is from RefSeq and is a predicted model, not a curated record. Lineage: Eukaryota; Metazoa; Arthropoda; Branchiopoda; Diplostraca; Daphniidae.
UCUUACAAUUAAUGUCUGCUAGACUGUUUGAGGUGUCACACUUCACAUUCAAAAUUUUAUGAAAAUCUCAUUGUUGUUUUAUAAAAAAUAAUGUCACAUAUUAUGCAAAAAAGUUGCAGUCUGCAGCGUAUGCUCUUUUUGUUUUGUAUAUUCCUGUUGGGCCUUUCGUACUGUCAAGCUGCUGUGAAUAAAUAUUCAAAAGAGGCGAAUCAACCAGAACCUGUUGAAGGCGUUGACAAGGAUUCUUGGAAAACUAUUGACAAACCUUUUCGCCUCGCUAAAAUUAACUUGAUUUGGGCUAAAGCUCAGAAGAGGCUGACAGAGUUUAAGCUGAAAAGUCUUUACAGUGAACUUAAAGUGCAAGAUAAGGAAGAAUUGCAGCUCAAGCGGUUGAAGGCUGAUAACUUGGAUAAGGAUGGUCUCAAAGAAGCUGAAAUAAGACAGAAGUUUGGCAAUGUCAUUGAACGUUAUGGGUUGGCUGAUCACUUUGAGAAAGAUACCGAAUCAAACCAAGCUGACAGUACGACCAACAGCCAUAGCAUUUUCAAAGAUAAAAAGCUGAAUAAACUGUGGUUAAAAGCUGAAAGUGCUGGAUUUACAGAACCUGAAUUGAAAAUGCUCAAGGAUGAAUUUGCUCACCACCAGGAAAAGGUGCUACAGUAUUAUAGCCUCUUGGAAGAGCACAACAGCAGGAAACUAAGAGAAGACACAGAUGCCUUUGUGAAUGAAGCCUUUAUGGACACACUUCAGGAUUUGGGAGAUAAAAUUGAGCCAAAUUUGGAAAAUUCGGCUGUUGAAGGAGUGAGGAGUACUCAUCGCGAGCUAAAAUAUGGCUACGACCGCCUUGAACGCAUGACCCUUUUGGGACCUAAAAGCCGUGAUUUUGAAGAGCCCAAAGUUCAGGGACUGUGGAAAAUCGCUCUCAACGGCGACUUUACCUCUGAGGAAUUGGAAUCUCUCCGCACGGAGCUGCGCCACUACGAGCAGAGAUUGCAAAAGCUGCGCUUUAUCCAGGCCCAGCACUCUCUCCAACAAGCCAAGACCGAAUUAGGCAACAAAAGUGAAUUUCAAGACGCAAAUGAGCUUCGCCAGAGGAUUAAAUUGCAGUCGCGCAAAGUGGAAAAGUUGCACGCCGACCUAGAAGCUCGAAUCACGCAACGGCACCUCGAGCUGUGAAGAAAUCUCGACCAGCUGGGCCGGUCAGCAGCAGCAGCAGCAGCUUAUUUUGGUUUUCAUCUCGAUAAGUUAUUAUCAUUCUAACGGCUGUUUUCUAGACGCUUAUAGGCUUCUCUCUACAAGGAACAAGCGCCAUCCAAUAACGAAUAGAAAUGUAUUUACAUUGAUGAUAUAUCCCGCAAAUAAUA